Molecule: long non-coding RNA, 1271 nt
Organism: Gasterosteus aculeatus aculeatus (three-spined stickleback)
Lineage: Eukaryota; Metazoa; Chordata; Actinopteri; Perciformes; Gasterosteidae
Source: RefSeq, a predicted model, not a curated record
UGAACCCUUAGGACACAGGGGUCAGGGGUCACGGUUAGUUCAGAGAAGCCUACCGUUAACUCCGGAAUGCCGUGGCUAAUUAUACUUACCGCCUUCUCCCAGCGCCAGGCGCAUCUCGUAGGCGUUCAUGCAUCUGGAUUUAUCCAGAUCAAACUCACGGAAGAUUCCCUGCCACGUCACAAGAUUCAGAUAAACAUGGGGGCGCUAAUGCUAAUGCUCGCUAGCUAAAUUUUCUAAUUCGCUAGCGUUUCUAAUGCGUUCUGCCCAUGUGGCAAAGCACCAAACCAGAAUGCCUUGCGAGAAUUGCGCUACUUGCUGCCAAAUGCUAACAUUAGCCUAGCUUUGACGCUUACAAGAAGCAGCGGCUAAAUUCCUUUCUGAACAUUUUUUAGGUGAGAAAACAACAGUGGAUUUUAAAUAUUGAUAACAACUACAAAAAACAGGAAAUAUGUAAUGUAAUGUAACUAGAAUCUUUCCUUCUGACCACGGGAACGAAAAGCUAACUAUGCUAUAAUUAGCUUCUUACUUCACACUUCAAACAACUUCAAAGUUCAUGAGUGAAGAUUAUCUGGAUAAAACCUAGAAGAAUCAUAGCAAUCCACCUGUUGGGCCACAAGUUGUAGUUCUCAGUAAGGUUCCUCCCCUGAACUCACCAGCCACUUCCGGAUCUUGUUCCACAGAACCUGGAACUCCAGGAGGCCGAGUCGAGCGCUGCCAUCUUUCUGAGCACGAGUCAAGAAGAAGACGUGAGGAUGAAUAAAGAACACCUUGUUUAAACAAUGCCAUAAAACCCAUCAGAACCAUCAGACCCAUCAGACCCAUCAGCGGUGUAAGGAUACGUCCAUGAGGCUAACCAUGGCUCUGCAGGACUCCAUACUGAAACCAUCCGUCUGAAGAUCUCCGUCUGUGAACAACCACAAGAGAAGGAGAGAUGAACUCACGUCUCCAGACAGCUGAGCGAACAUGGACCGAAAGGACUCGUCCACGUCGUUCACCAAGACCUCCUCCUUCAGAGAAGAAUGGCGAGAAGGUCAAAGUUCAUCGCAGCGCAAAAUCAAGAAGCAAUUAAUAGCGUUAAUAAACAAUGUAUCCAAAGAAGGUUUAUCCACCAGAUGUUCAGACCGAAGGUGUAAAUCCAUAUAGAAGACCUCCUUGCUCACCUCUUGCUCAAAGGUUGCCUCCACGUUGUCGUCCAUCUCCCUGUAGAGACCCACACGGCGUUACCAGCACAUAAUUAACACUUCAAUACUAGAAAUCAGUAACAUCGACAA